This 410-nucleotide ribosomal RNA is filed under the name uncultured Methylomirabilota bacterium. RNAcentral describes it as "bacterial SSU rRNA". It matches the Rfam family "Bacterial small subunit ribosomal RNA", at positions 1025 to 1434 of the family's 1533-position model. Lineage: Bacteria; Methylomirabilota (SeqCode). The record is from RNAcentral.
AGCGUGGAGACAGGUGGUGCAUGGCUGUCGUCAGCUCGUGUCGUGAGAUGUUGGGUUAAGUCCCGCAACGAGCGCAACCCUCACCCCUUGUUGCCACCGGGUAACGCCGAGCACUCUAGGGGAACUGCUAGCGUCAAGCUGGAGGAAGGCGGGGAUGACGUCAAGUCAUCAUGCCCCUUACGCCCUGGGCUACACACGUGCUACAAUGGCCGGUACAAAGGGAUGCAAGACCGCGAGGUGGAGCUAACCCCAAAAAACCGGUCUAAGUUCAGAUUGCAGUCUGCAACUCGGCUGCAUGAAGGAGGAAUCGCUAGUAAUCGCGCAUCAGCACGGUGCGGUGAAUACGUUCCCGGGCCUUGUACACACCGCCCGUCACACCACGAAAGCCGGCUGUACUCGAAGUCGCUGAG